Molecule: long non-coding RNA, 1131 nt
Organism: Halichondria panicea
Lineage: Eukaryota; Metazoa; Porifera; Demospongiae; Suberitida; Halichondriidae
Exons: 2
Source: RefSeq, a predicted model, not a curated record
GACUAAAACAGACAUGUUCCAUAACAGAAACCUAGCAACAACAUGGCAGGGGAAGUUAGCCUGCACAUUUGGAAAAUAUUAACAGUACAAGUAGAGCUUUAACAAACACAGCAAACACAGUAUACCGUCUACACUGCAGCUCUAAUAGUAGCAGCAGUUCGGUUUUUUAGCUCAGAGACAUGGAAGAGAAUCCAGCAUACGGUAGAGCAAAAAAUCAUGAACAGUCAGGAGAAUAUGCCUCAGUGACUGGUGAAGACACAAGAGACUACGUUUAUGCCAAUCCAAGCCAGCUACAAGAAAUAAAGGACAAACCACCAAAGUUGGACAAACAAAAGAAAGGAGCCCAAACACAGAGGUGUGCUCUAAUUGCUAUCACAGUGAUUCUAGUGAUAACUCUGAUGAUAGCACUGACAGCGUUCGCUACGGGAAUAGUUGCACUUUACUCCUUGGGGCAGGAGAGCAUCAGCAGUGUGAACCGGCUAACAGUGCACACACAGUGGGCUGAGGAGAGGUAUGCCGAGUUACUUGAAAGAGACAACAGCCUUCGGUUUACAGUGAACAAUUUGACCUCUCAAAUUAACAACCCUGUGAUUAGGAGGCUCAAUCAGAGCUGUAUAGUAGAUACUAUAAGCUGCAACAUUGGGCCUGACAUGUCAGGCUUUUAUUGGAGGGGCUGUCUUACACUACCAGUGCUACCAAAAACCAUAGCUGACCACUUCACUGUGGACAUAAGGUGUGUGUAUGACAGAGGCAACGAUUUUCUAUUUGAGAGUGCUCAACUCAUCCAAAGAAGCGGCACUGUGUUCUGCAGCUGCUCAGUGCUCAAUCCCAACCCAUCCGGACCAGAUCUACGAAUACUACCUGCUACCAUAAACGGUACCUGUACUCUGGAGAUCACAAGAUGCCCAGUUUGAAAUGUACAAUAGUACAUUUAGAAAGUAACAUUUAGACUACUUUCUGUAUAUUCAGUGAUAAUAAACUACAUGUACACAACAAGUGUUAAACUAGCUGCAUGCAUGACACCGAAUAUAGAAAUAGCAAUCAGCUCACCAAAAUAAAUUUCACUUACAAAUAAAUUUCAUCAUCAACCUGAGUAUUGUAUCUAAUCACUUAUUGUAUACACUGCCGUGA